GACGAACGCUGGCGGCGUGCUUAACACAUGCAAGUCGAACGGAAAGGCCCUGCUUUUGUGGGGUGCUCGAGUGGCGAACGGGUGAGUAACACGUGAGUAACCUGCCCUUGACUUUGGGAUAACUUCAGGAAACUGGGGCUAAUACCGGAUAGGAGCUCCUGCUGCAUGGUGGGGGUUGGAAAGUUUCGGCGGUUGGGGAUGGACUCGCGGCGUAUCAGCUUGUUGGUGGGGUAGUGGCUUACCAAGGCUUUGACGGGUAGCCGGCCUGAGAGGGUGACCGGCCACAUUGGGACUGAGAUGCGGCCCAGACUCCUACGGGAGGCAGCAGUGGGGAAUAUUGCACAAUGGGCGGAGGCCUGAUGCAGCAACGCCGCGUGCGGGAUGACGGCCUUCGGGUUGGAAACCGCUUUCGCCUGUGACGAAGCGUGAGGGACGGUAAUGGGUAAAGAAGCACCGGCUAACUACGU
Molecule: ribosomal RNA, 467 nt
Filed under: uncultured bacterium
Lineage: Bacteria
Description: partial 16S ribosomal RNA
Rfam family: Bacterial small subunit ribosomal RNA
Source: RNAcentral